GACGAACGCUGGCGGCGUGCUUAACACAUGCAAGUCGAACGGAAAGGCCCUGCUUUUGUGGGGUGCUCGAGUGGCGAACGGGUGAGUAACACGUGAGUAACCUGCCCUUGACUUUGGGAUAACUUCAGGAAACUGGGGCUAAUACCGGAUAGGAGCUCCUGCUGCAUGGUGGGGGUUGGAAAGUUUCGGCGGUUGGGGCUGGACUCGCGGGUUAUCAGCCUGUUGGUGGGGUAGUGGCUUACCAAGGCUUUGACGGGUAGCCGGCCUGAGAGGGUGACCGGCCACAUUGGGACUGAGAUACGGCCCAGACUCCUACGGGAGGCAGCAGGGGGGAAUAUUGCACAGUGGGCGGAAGCCUGAGACGGCAACGCCGCGUGCGGGAUAACGGCCUUCUGGUUGUAAACCGCUUUCGCCUGUGACGAGGCGUGAGUGACGGUAAUGGGUAAGGAAGCACCGGCUAACUACGUG
RNAcentral lists this ribosomal RNA (468 nucleotides) under uncultured bacterium. RNAcentral describes it as "partial 16S ribosomal RNA". It matches the Rfam family "Bacterial small subunit ribosomal RNA", at positions 28 to 507 of the family's 1533-position model. The record is from RNAcentral.